Molecule: long non-coding RNA, 184 nt
Organism: Fundulus heteroclitus (mummichog)
Lineage: Eukaryota; Metazoa; Chordata; Actinopteri; Cyprinodontiformes; Fundulidae
Exons: 2
Source: RefSeq, a predicted model, not a curated record
CUCAGGAAUGUUUCCAUUCACACUGUCAAGAUACCUCAGAAUCGGUGGUGUGGUGAGCCCGACCAUCUUCCAUAAUUAUUCACAAAUUAAUAAAAUAAAUUGGACAUUGGGGGUGUUCGGUGGAACGGGUAACAUAAGAGCUUGUUUUGGAGGUCUUAAAAGGUUGACUGUAGCCCAAACUUUA